RNAcentral lists this ribosomal RNA (464 nucleotides) under uncultured bacterium. Its description in RNAcentral is "partial 16S ribosomal RNA". It matches the Rfam family "Bacterial small subunit ribosomal RNA", at positions 339 to 795 of the family's 1533-position model. The record is from RNAcentral.
CUACGGGUCGCAGCAGUGGGGAAUAUUGCACAAUGGGCGCAAGCCUGAUGCAGCCAUGCCGCGUGUAUGAAGAAGGCCUUCGGGUUGUAAAGUACUUUCAGCGGGGAGGAAGGGAGUAAAGUUAAUACCUUUGCUCAUUGACGUUACCCGCAGAAGAAGCACCGGCUAACUCCGUGCCAGCAGCCGCGGUAAUACGGAGGGUGCAAACGUUGUUCGGAAUUACUGGGCGUAAAGCGCACGCAGGCGGUUUGUUAAGUCAGAUGUGAAAUCCCCGGGCUCAACCUGGGAACUGCAUCUGAUACUGGCAAGCUUGAGGCUCGUAGAGGGGGGUAGAAUUCCAGGUGUAGCGGUGAAAUGCGUAGAGAUCUGGAGGAAUACCGGUGGCGAAGGCGGCCCCCUGGACGAAGACUGACGCUCAGGUGCGAAAGCGUGGGGAGCAAACAGGAUUAGAUACCCCGGUAGUC